GCAUUGAUCUUUUUAUGUACUGAUUCACGAGGACUUAAGCCUAUGAUGCAGUUGUUUUCCCAGUCUUGGGAGCUGGCAGAUGCCAUUACCCAGGUCAGGAGAUAGAACCUUGCCAGCUAUACCCUGAAGCUGUUCAAGUCUUUCUCCCAAUUACAGUCUUCAUAAGAGUUGUUAGAAGGACUGAAUGAGAUGAAGUAGAGGAAAGUCUUCUAGGACAGGGGUCCUCAACCCUUGGGCCACAGACUGGUGGCAGGAGGGCUGCACAGCAGAUGGGAUGCCUGGUUGCAAGAAAACAAGCUCAGGGCUCCCACAGAUUCUACGUGAUGCAGUUUUCACAGAUUUGUGGCCAGAUGCUAGAGACAAAGGCUGAGAAGUUGUCCAGGACGUCAUAUUCUUGCUUUGCUGGAGGCAGAUCUGAAGGAUGUCAUCUCUCCUGUGGCUUCUUCUAGUGUGGGGUCCCGAAGCCUGGCUUCCCCAGCCGAUGUGCUGCUUUAGUCAGCGUCUGCCCUGGUCCUUCGGUUCGCAGGCUCACACGCUUUUUUGGGUUGUGUCCCUUUGGACUGCAGAGGCUACGUGUCCUGUGACCAACCACGAAGGCGGCCACUCCCGCUCCCCUCAGGAGUGUCUUAAAAUACCUCCAUUUUAGCUACCCUAUUGAAUGACAGGUUAGCUGGGUGCUGGGUUUUCAGGUGAUGGACAUUUUCCCUCAGUCCUCUGAAGGUGUUGCUGGCUUCAGGCAUUGAUGCCGCCACUCUGAUUGUUGUAUGCAGUGAGCAAACUAGAAUUUUCUCUUGGCUUUCUAGAUUUUCUUCUUUAUAUUCUGAAACUUUAUUA
Molecule: long non-coding RNA, 834 nt
Filed under: Homo sapiens (human)
Lineage: Eukaryota; Metazoa; Chordata; Mammalia; Primates; Hominidae
Description: novel transcript
Source: RNAcentral